UACAUUUUUACCUAUUAAAAAAUAAAAAUGUUAUUUAUAUCACUAACCAUAGAUCACAUUGUCCGGACAAUUAGCGUAAAGCUUUUUGCCCACUUUUUUCCGAGCAUUGCGUUCCACACAACUUCGUAUUUGCUCGGCUCUUCAUUUUUGAGUUCGAGCUACGAAAAUAUACGAAAGCACAAUCAUUUCACUUCAUGCGACCGAGAUGGUCGAAUGCUGAACAAACAAAAGUUUAUGUGUGUGUGACACACUUGUGUAAGCAAAAAGUCGACAAGAAAUUUUGAAUUCUUUCUAGAAGGGUUCAGGGGAUCUCGUAGUCGAUCAGUCUCGACUAGAGCUUCCUUACUUGUGUAAGUUUUAUAAAGAAUUUUCCUUCCGUCAUAUGAAUGUCUAUCUAAGUUUAUUUAUAUAAAUAAGUGGCACACGCAUAUAAAGGGGGCUAUCCACAGACGAAUUUGUUACACGAACAUGUUGUGUUCGUGAAAUAUUCGAAUGUGGAUAGGAGUGUUCGUUUGUGUUCAGAUGAAAAUAGAAAUGUUUCUAUCUUACGGGUGUUCGUGCGAGCAUGUUCGACAAUGGAUUCGAGUGUUCGCACGAACAUGAUUCCUAGAAAUAUUUCGGACAGUCAACAUAGGCCAGAAUGAACCGAUAAUUUCUUGAUUAUUUUCAAAAUGAGCCGACUUUGUGGCAAAAUAAAAGCGAAAACAAUCAAAAUAUAAAACUGCGCAACAAAUCAUGGGACAAAUCAUAAUUAAAAUAUAAAGUUGUCGAAGAAAACGACACAAUUAAUGCCGUUAAAGCAAAUGUAAAUUGUCUGCACGCUUCAUACAGGCGGGAACUCGAAAAAAUAAAAUGAGGCGCAAAGUCAGGUCUUUCUUUUAUUUUAAGCUUAAGCUCGAUUUUGUUUUCUUCCGCUGGCAUGUUCACAGUCUGAAAUUUGUUUUAAAAUGAUGCUCGCGAACAUGUUUGUGAAAAUGUUCGCAUAGUUAGUAGACAAACUCGGCGAACAUGUUCGUGUAACAAAUUCGUCUGGGGAUAGCCCCCUUAAAUUCCUUAGUUGAUCGCUACAAAUACCGAUGCCGAUGAGUAUAAAUAUUAAUAAAUAAAUGUGUAUAGUCUAGGGGCGUAGCAAAUCGAAAACUGCAUUAUUCGAUAUACUAGAAUUUACUUGAAAAGCUAGAGAGCGGAAAUUCGGAAUGUAGAUUUCCGUUGUCCACCUAAAAUCUACACCCAUUGGGGGCGUUGCAAAUCGGAUAAAACUUUAUCCUUUUAUAUUCUUGGUUAAUACUUUAUUUGCUGUUUUCACAGUAUGAUGAAAUAAAUUUGCGCUGAAUUUUGAGAGCUCAACUUGCAGGAAAGUGAAUUUGGGACCACGCACAACUAUUGAGCAGUGGGAUCUUGUUCUCAAACACUUUGAAAAUUGUCAUUCCCGUAGAAAUAUAGCUGAUGGUUGGAUUUAGUGGUUCUACAUUUUAAAACAUCAUAUACCGAUUUGUCCGUGAAAAUAGAACCCACGAUAAGGGGAGAAAUGUUCCGAACAAAAUUUUUAAUUCCAUGGACGAGCGCUAUAUUGUGAGAAAAAUCCGUGACAACCCAAGGCUAUCGGCUCGACAAGUGGCCAAUGAUGUUAAGAAGGAGUUGGGCAAGGCAUGUCACCCAGAAACUGUUAUCCGUAUGCUUCGGCCACAUAACUUUAAUGGCCGAGCACCACGCAAGAAGCCUUUUAUAAGCGACAAAAAGAAAAGGUGUCGCUUAAGCUUUGCUAAGGAGCACUUGCACAAGCACAUUUGAUUCUAGAACACUGUUUUAUUUUGCGAUGAGUUCACAUUCAAUUUGUUUGGGUUAGAUGGGCCCUCAUAUGUGUGGCGUAAGCCUAAUACAUGGUUUGGGUCUGUAUAUCAGCAGGAGGCGUUGAGAACUUGGAGUUCAUAGAGACUACAAUGGAUAAAGGCAAAUAUCUUGAUAUUUUGAAGUCCAAUUUAAUUCAAAGUCUCAGAAACUCUGAACAAAGGAGGACUUCAGAAUUCACCAAGAUAUUGACUUGAAAGACACUGCAACAAUAGUCUAGACUUGGCUGAUCUGGAAAUGUCUGAACGUUAUGAAAACACCAGGCCAGCCCUGAUUUUAAUGUAAACGAAAAUUUUUGGUCGAUUUUGGAAAUAAACAUUCGCAAUCACAAAAUAUUGAACAAAUCGGUCAUAAAAGCUGCAUUGGUUAAGGAAUGAGAUACCAUUACUCUAGAAGUAACCAAAAAGUUCGUGGAAUCAGCCCCAAAAAAAUGGUUACAUAUGUUAUUUUUAUUUGGUUGGAGACUUAAAUUAGUUAAUUCGGUCAAGUGGAAACAUAAAAUUUAGCUAAUAUUUAAAUUGUUCAUCAUAUGUCAAAAUACUUUUGUCACCUUGAAUUUUGAUAUAAUGCAUUUUUUAUUCCCUGCAAACAUUGAAAAUGGGAAAUCAGAGAAUCUUUUUGUGAAAAUGUAUGUAACAGGCAGUAGGGGGCAUCACAGAUUCCACAUAGUAGAUAUACACUCAUGAUGAAAAUAAUAAGUACACCAAAAUAGUUUUAGAGACUAUAUAACUAAGACUUCAUAACUAACAAUUUUUGGUAUUUUUGAAAAAAAAAAAAAAAAAACUCGAAAGAGCUUACUUAAUAUAAUAGGUACACUGAACUUCAACAGUCAGAAAAAAACGUUUAGAAUACGAAAUGUUGCUUUUAUUGUUAUAAAAUAGUAAGUAUCCUUCACACAAAAAAGUAGAAAAACAAUUCUUAUUAUCAUAUGUCGAUGGGUCGAAAUAUUCAUUGUUCGAGUGAGGAACGGAGAAUUGCUAAAAACCGUAGAGAGAAAGGCAAAUCUUUGCGAAGCUGAUGAACAUAUCGCUUAAUUUUUUGCAAAAUGCUUUAAAGGCACAAUAAAAGAAAACACGUAGACGUCCAUCGAAAACAACAUUAGAACGCAUUAAAAGAAGUGCCAAAUCCGACCCUUUCGUCUUCAACGGUCAUUUUAUCCGUAAUGGAUAAUAUAAUUAAUGCUUAUUGAUUUGGGAGAUGACUACAACUGCAAUCUGGCAAUAUGAUACAUGAAAAAAGAAUUGUAUUUUUAUUGAUGCAAAAUUUUGCUAAAGACCACAUCACCUGGGAAAGAUCUGAACGUCAAAAAAAGUGGCAUAUUAUCCUAUUUAACGACGAACCCAAAAUUUGCCUUUAUAGAAAUGACUAUUCAAGACAUGUCAGACUCCCUAAAGGUAAAGAAUUUAAUCCUCACUACACAAAAAAAAAAAAAGUGAAGCAUGGCGGUGGGAACAUUAUGAUGUGGGGCUGCUUCUGUAUCGUUUGAUGUUCCUAAUAUCUGACAUUAUGAGAGUAGCAGACUACAGGGGUAUUCUCGAAAAUAUAGUGCUAACAAAUACUGAGGAAAACAUGCCCCUGCGCUGGGUUUUUCAACAGGAUAACGGCCUGAAACACUUGUCUAAAAUAGUAAAAACUUGGUAUGGACGCUCUCGCUUGGCCCAGUCAUUCUCCUGAUCUGAAUCCAUUCAAAAACUUGUGUAGUGAAUUGAAAAUUGGCAAAGAAAAGGUGUGACAAUAAACGCCAAUUAUGGGACUGUGUCCCAGAAGAUUGCGAAUGAGAACUGCCACGCUUUGAUUAGCAGUAUGCCUAACCGGAUAGAAAAAGUUGUAGAAAAUUAAGGAGAAUAUACAGGAUAUUAAUCCAAAAAUAAAAUAACAAAAGAUUAAGAUUUGAAAAUCCAAAAUUUGAAUACAACUUACCAAAGUAAAGUGUACCUAUUAUUUUAGUCAAGCACAAUAAAGUUAAAUUUUUAGGAGUGUA
Long non-coding RNA from Drosophila mojavensis, 3829 nucleotides. RefSeq lists it as uncharacterized. Lineage: Eukaryota; Metazoa; Arthropoda; Insecta; Diptera; Drosophilidae. The record is from RefSeq and is a predicted model, not a curated record. The transcript has 2 exons.